UAACUCAUCAGUAUGCUCAGACACCAGCCA
This 30-nucleotide non-coding RNA is filed under the name Mus musculus (house mouse). The record is from RNAcentral. Lineage: Eukaryota; Metazoa; Chordata; Mammalia; Rodentia; Muridae.